GGGAGAGUGGCCGAGUGGUCGAAAGCGGCAGACUGUAAAUCUGUUAGAGGUAUUCUUCGUAGGUUCGAAUCCCGCCUCUCCCA
RNAcentral lists this transfer RNA (83 nucleotides) under Nageia nagi. Its description in RNAcentral is "tRNA-Tyr". It matches the Rfam family "tRNA". From Rfam's summary of the family: Transfer RNA (tRNA) molecules are approximately 80 nucleotides in length. The record is from RNAcentral. Lineage: Eukaryota; Viridiplantae; Streptophyta; Pinopsida; Araucariales; Podocarpaceae.